CUGAACCGGGAUUGAACCUGGCCCCUGCCCUGGAAUCACAGAGUCUUAACCACUGGACCAUCAGGGAAGUCCAUACACUCCUAUUUUUAAAAAACCCUGAAGACCUGUGACUUGCAAUCCUCUGCCCUUUACUUUAGUAAAGUAAGUCAGAGAGAGAAAGACAAAUACCAUAUGAUAUCACUUAUAUGUGGAAUCUAAAAUAUGACACAGAUGAACUUAUCUAUGGAACAGAAACAGACUCACAGAUAUGGAAACAGAUUGAGAGCGAGUGCCAAGAAGUGAAACCAAGAAGUCUGGGGCCAAGAAGUCAUCCCAGAGUACCAACAGGGACUUCCCUGGUGGCCCAGUGGUUAAGAAUUCACCUUCCAAUAUAGGGGACCUGGGUUCAAUCCCUGGUCCGGGAAGAUCACACGUGCCACUAAGCCCACAUAUCACAACUACUGAGCCUGUGAGCUUCAGCUAGAGAAAGGUGCCCAUGCCACAACGAAGAGACCACAGUGAAAGAGCCUGUAUGCCACCAUGAAGAUGCCGUGUGCUGCAACGAAGAUCCAACACAGCAGGUUUUCUCUGGUAUUGACAUUAGGGUCACAGAAGAUGCACAAAAUGCAUGCAGAAUCAGUACUGCAAAACUGCAGGGGAUGGACUGAAGCCUUUCUCGUCAUCCCGCACUCCAUCACGAAGUCCCGUCAUAAGAGAUGGUUCACGUGUGCCUUUUGGCUCCUAUUCGCUGCCUCCUGGAUGUCGUUUAUGUUUAUUUCUCAGUGACUUUGUGUGUGACUUGGGC
Molecule: long non-coding RNA, 784 nt
Organism: Bos taurus (domestic cattle)
Lineage: Eukaryota; Metazoa; Chordata; Mammalia; Artiodactyla; Bovidae
Source: Ensembl